GAUGAACGCUGGCGGCGUGCCUAAUACAUGCAAGUCGAGCGAACAGAUGAGAAGCUUGCUUCUCUGAUGUUAGCGGCGGACGGGUGAGUAACACGUGGAUAACCUACCUAUAAGACUGGGAUAACUUCGGGAAACCGGAGCUAAUACCGGAUAAUAUUUUGAACCGCAUGGUUCAAUAGUGAAAGACGGUUUUGCUGUCACUUAUAGAUGGAUCCGCGCCGCAUUAGCUAGUUGGUAAGGUAACGGCUUACCAAGGCAACGAUGCGUAGCCGACCUGAGAGGGUGAUCGGCCACACUGGAACUGAGACACGGUCCAGACUCCUACGGGAGGCAGCAGUAGGGAAUCUUCCGCAAUGGGCGAAAGCCUGACGGAGCAACGCCGCGUGAGUGAUGAAGGUCUUCGGAUCGUAAAACUCUGUUAUUAGGGAAGAACAAAUGUGUAAGUAACUAUGCACGUCUUGACGGUACCUAAUCAGAAAGCCACGGCUAACUACGUG
This 497-nucleotide ribosomal RNA is filed under the name uncultured bacterium. RNAcentral describes it as "partial 16S ribosomal RNA". It matches the Rfam family "Bacterial small subunit ribosomal RNA", at positions 28 to 507 of the family's 1533-position model. The record is from RNAcentral.